GUGGGGAAUCUUGCGCAAUGGGCGAAAGCCUGACGCAGCGACGCCGCGUGGGCGAAGAAGGCCUUCGGGUUGUAAAGCCCUGUGGGGGAGAACGAACCGUACGGGGGCGAAUACCCUCCGUGCCUGACGGUACUCCUUUAGCAAGCAUCGGCUAACUCUGUGCCAGCAGCCGCGGUAAGACAGAGGAUGCAAACGUUGCUCGGAAUUACUGGGCGUAAAGCGCGUGUAGGCGGUCAGGUCAGUCGGACGUGAAAUCCCGGGGCUCAACCCCGGAAGUGCGCUCGAUACUGCCUGACUUGGGUUCUGAAGAGGAGAGCGGAAUUCCCGGUGUAGAGGUGAAAUUCGUAGAUAUCGGGAGGAACACCAGUGGCGAAGGCGGCUCUCUGGGCAGAUACCGACGCUGAGACGCGAAAGCGUGGGAAGCAAACAGGAUUAGAAACCCGGGUAGUCC
Molecule: ribosomal RNA, 451 nt
Filed under: uncultured bacterium
Lineage: Bacteria
Description: bacterial SSU rRNA
Rfam family: Bacterial small subunit ribosomal RNA
Source: RNAcentral